This 433-nucleotide ribosomal RNA is filed under the name uncultured bacterium. RNAcentral's name for it is "partial 16S ribosomal RNA". It matches the Rfam family "Bacterial small subunit ribosomal RNA", at positions 29 to 507 of the family's 1533-position model. The record is from RNAcentral.
AGCGAACGCUGGCGGCAGGCCUAACACAUGCCAGUCGAACGAACUCUUCGGAGUUAGUGGCGGACGGGUGAGUAACACGUGGGAACGUGCCUUUUGGUUCGGAAUAACUCAGGGAAACUUGUGCUAAUACCGAAUGUGCCCUUCGGGGGAAAGAUUUAUCGCCAUUAGAGCGGCCCGCGUCUGAUUAGCUAGUUGGUGAGGUAACGGCCCACCAAGGCGACGAUCAGUAGCUGGUCUGAGAGGAUGACCAGCCACACUGGGACUGAGACACGGCCCAGACUCCUACGGGAGGCAGCAGUGGGGAAUCUUGCGCAAUGGGCGAAAGCCUGACGCAGCCAUGCCGCGUGAAUGAUGAAGGUCUUAGGAUUGUAAAAUUCUUUCACCGGGGACGAUAAUGACGGUACCCGGAGAAGAAGCCCCGGCUAACUUCGUG